UCUACUUAUUCUUCGGUGAUCUCAUUGCUCGUAUUUGUUAUGUUGGCAAGUUUUUUUUUUUAAAAAAAAAAGGAAAAACAAAACAAAACAACUUGUUAGAUACAACUUAAUUAAACAGAGAAUCAAUCUAAUAAGCUUAUGAAGACAACGUUAAAGAAAUGUUUGUCAGAAUAACCACCAAAGAAUUCCGUAAUAUUAAUUAAAAUAAAAGUUGAAGAAUCAAUGAGUACUAAUUUUAUUAUUAUUAUUUUUUCCAAUAGAUAAGCAUUACUCGAGGUAAUAUUAUUAAGGAUUUUUUACCGAAUUCUAUAGUAUGUGGUAGUGACCACCCCUCCACCAAGCAUGGCGUUAAAAGAUCACCAGCUAUUAAAUGCAGAGUCAAAUAUUUGUGCUAACAGAAAAGUAGUAUAUAUUUUCUUCACUAAUAAGGAACAAAAUGUUCAUAAUUGAACAUACAUCCACCAUCAUCUAAGGUAUACGCCUCAAGGUAUACAUCCACCAUCAUCUAAGCUUAUGUGCUAGUAGUGUGUUACAGUGUUAGUAACGAAAUGCAAGACCUUAGUGUUCUGUUUGUGUUGUGCAAAUUUUCUAACGCCAUAUGUUUUCUAAUAAUUAAAGAAAACAAAAGAUUCCAUAUCGUACAAAGAAAAUAAAAAUUAACGUGUUUAUCAUAAACUCCACAAAUAAAAAUACAUACAAUGUGAAUUUUAUUAAGAUUUUAGAUACGUAUAUAAAUUUUGUAGUACUACCUAUAUGGAGCGACAGGGUUUACCAGUAGACAGCAAUUUCAUUGGCUCCGAUAACAAAAGGUCAACCUAAAUAAUGUGGCUAAAUAUUUUUUCUUUUAUUUUUUUGUCCUAUUAUAACAUCAUUUUGU
Molecule: long non-coding RNA, 877 nt
Filed under: Citrus x clementina
Lineage: Eukaryota; Viridiplantae; Streptophyta; Magnoliopsida; Sapindales; Rutaceae
Description: Citrus clementina (C. clementina) long non-coding RNA (CCLE_LNC000540)
Source: RNAcentral